GCCAGACUCCUACGGGAGGCAGCAGUGGGGAAUAUUGCACAAUGGGGGAAACCCUGAUGCAGCGACGCCGCGUGAGUGAAGAAGUAUUUCGGUAUGUAAAGCUCUAUCAGCAGGGAAGAUAAUGACGGUACCUGAGUAAGAAGCCCCGGCUAACUACGUGCCAGCAGCCGCGGUAAUACGUAGGGGGCAAGCGUUAUCCGGAUUUACUGGGUGUAAAGGGAGCGUAGACGGCAUGGCAAGUCUGAAGUGAAAGCCCGGGGCUCAACCGCGGGACUGCUUUGGAAACUGUUAAGCUGGAGUGCAGGAGAGGUAAGUGGAAUUCCUAGUGUAGCGGUGAAAUGCGUAGAUAUUAGGAGGAACACCAGUGGCGAAGGCGGCUUACUGGGCUUUUACUGACGCUGAGGCUCGAAAGCGUGGGGAGCAAACAGGAUUAGAUACCCUAGUAAC
RNAcentral lists this ribosomal RNA (447 nucleotides) under uncultured bacterium. Its description in RNAcentral is "bacterial SSU rRNA". It matches the Rfam family "Bacterial small subunit ribosomal RNA", at positions 330 to 794 of the family's 1533-position model. The record is from RNAcentral.